RNAcentral lists this ribosomal RNA (468 nucleotides) under uncultured bacterium. RNAcentral describes it as "partial 16S ribosomal RNA". It matches the Rfam family "Bacterial small subunit ribosomal RNA", at positions 28 to 507 of the family's 1533-position model. The record is from RNAcentral.
GACGAACGCUGGCGGCGUGCUUAACACAUGCAAGUCGAACGGAAAGGCACUGCGUUUGUGCUGUGCCCGAGUGGCGAUCGGGUGCGUAACACGUGAGUAACCUGCCCUACUUUUUCGGAUAACUUCAGGAAACUGGGGCUAAUCUCGUAUAGGAGCUCACGUUGCAUGGUGGGGGUUGGAAAGUUUCGGCGGGUGGGGCUGGACUCGCGGCUUAUCAGCUUGUUGGUGGGGUAGUGGUUUACCAAGGCUUUGGAUGAUACCCGGCCUGGGAGGGGGACCGGCCACAAGAGUACUACGAGAGGGACCAGUCGCGUACGGGAGACAGCGGGGGGGAGUAUGGCACAAUGGUAGGAAGCCUGUGGCAGCAACGCCGCGGGCGUAAUGACGUCCUGCGGGGAGAGAACCGCUGUCGCCUGUGACGAAGCGUGAGUGACGGUAAUCGGUGAAGAAGCACCGGCUAACUACGUG